RNAcentral lists this ribosomal RNA (260 nucleotides) under uncultured bacterium. RNAcentral's name for it is "partial 16S ribosomal RNA". It matches the Rfam family "Bacterial small subunit ribosomal RNA", at positions 331 to 607 of the family's 1533-position model. The record is from RNAcentral.
UUUGACCUACGGGGGGCAGCAGUGGGGAAUAUUGGGCAAUGGGCGCAAGCCUGACCCAGCAACGCCGCGUGAAGGAAGAAGGCUUUCGGGUUGUAAACUUCUUUUCUCAGGGACGAAGAAAGUGACGGUACCUGAGGAAUAAGCCACGGCUAACUACGUGCCAGCAGCCGCGGUAAUACGUAGGUGGCAAGCGUUAUCCGGCUUUACUGGGUGUAAAGGGCGUGUAGGCGGGGGUGCAAGUCAGGUGUGAAAACCACGGG